GCUCCAGUAGCUCGUGUAGGUCCAAGCACGCGCCUUCUAAGCGCGGGGUCGCAGGUUCGAGCCCUGCCAGGCGCGCCA
RNAcentral lists this transfer RNA (78 nucleotides) under Pseudomonadota bacterium. RNAcentral's name for it is "tRNA-Arg". It matches the Rfam family "tRNA". Rfam says of the family: Transfer RNA (tRNA) molecules are approximately 80 nucleotides in length. Lineage: Bacteria; Pseudomonadati; Pseudomonadota. The record is from RNAcentral.